AAAGGGUAGCAAUACCUGAGUACAGUGGCGCACGGGUGAGUAACACGUGAAUCAUCUACCUCCGAGUGGGGAAUAACCUAGAGAAAUCUGGGCUAAUACCGCAUAACACUUACGAGUCAAAGCAGCAAUGCGCUUGGAGAGGAGUUCGCGGCCGAUUAGUUAGUUGGCGGGGUAAUAGCCCACCAAGACGAUGAUCGGUAUCCGGCCUGAGAGGGCGCACGGACACACUGGAACUGAAACACGGUCCAGACUCCUACGGGAGGCAGCAGUGGGGAAUUUUGCGCAAUGGGGGAAACCCUGACGCAGCAACGCCGCGUGGAGGAUGAAAUCCCUUGGGAUGUAAACUCCUUUCGAUCGGGACGAUUAUGACGGUACCGGAAGAAGAAGCCCCGGCUAACUUCGUGCCAGCAGCCGCGGUAAUACGAGGGGGGCAAGCGUUGUUCGGAAUUAUUGGGCGUAAAGGGCGCGUAGGCGGUCUGACAAGUCUGAUGUGAAAUCUCUGGGCUCAACCCAGAGUCUGCAUUAGAAACUGUCGGGCUUGAGUAUGGGAGAGGUGAGUGGAAUUUCCGGUGUAGCGGUGAAAUGCGUAGAUAUCGGAAGGAACACCUGUGGCGAAAGCGGCUCACUGGACCAUAACUGACGCUGAGGCGCGAAAGCUAGGGGAGCAAACAGGAUUAGAUACCCUGGUAGUCCUAGCCCUAAACGAUGAUUGCUUGGUGUGACAGGUACCCAAUCCUGUCGUGCCGAAGCUAACGCGAUAAGCAAUCCGCCUGGGGAGUACGGUCGCAAGGCUGAAACUC
This 800-nucleotide ribosomal RNA is filed under the name uncultured Bacillota bacterium. RNAcentral describes it as "bacterial SSU rRNA". It matches the Rfam family "Bacterial small subunit ribosomal RNA", at positions 71 to 902 of the family's 1533-position model. Lineage: Bacteria; Bacillati; Bacillota. The record is from RNAcentral.